CUCUCUCUCUCUCUCUCUCUCUCUCUCUCUCUCUCCUGCUACCUCGUUCUUUUCUUUUCUUCCUUUUCAUUUUUGCAGUGACUUUUCCUCUUUUUUUUGAACCAUCAAUUAUAAAUCUGAAACUUUAGAUUAUUCUUUAUCAAUUUUCAAAAAUUCUCUUCAUUUUCCAUACCAUAACAACAAUGAACUCAUCGGCAAUAUUUAGCUCUUCCCCUAUUACUGAUGCCUUCGUUUUCUAAUCAAAGUAUCAUGUAAGAAAUCAAAGAAUCAAUCUUCUCUGUUAUUUAUGCACUCGUUUGGAGUUCACCGCGUCUGUCACCGCUGAAACUACUUCAAUGUUUAGGCGGUGUUCCUUCUCCUUAAGAUGAGUUAAGACACAAUCCUCCUGAAGUUCUUUCCCGCGAGAAACAUAAUCGGUGAAAUUUUCCGAGUAGUAACCAAAGGAGAGCCGAUUGAGCGAGUUUUUAAAGUUAGUUUUCGGUCUGGAUAACAACAAUGUUAGCCAACAUUUUCUAAGUUACCAUAUAUUAAUUAUGUUUUAGGAGAAUCUCAAUUUUAUAUUAUUGUUUGGAUAUAUGCUUUGUUAUCAGUUACAAACAAAUUACUUUUAACUGAUAAAUAUUUAUAAAAAGGAGUAAAAAUAGUUAUUCUUAAUUGAUGCAUUAUUUUUUAGCUGAUAAAUUAUUUGUUAGUUGAUACACUUGUUUGAUAUGUUAUUUGUUAGUUGAAUAUUUAUUCUUUAGAAUCAAAUUAUGUAUCAUGUAACAAAAAAUAUACUAGUUAACAAUUUAUAUACUGACUAACAUACCUUGUAGUAGUUGAUACAUGAUUUAGCUUCUAAAAAAUAGAUUACGCAAUAGUGAUUUUUUAAUAGCUGUUGUUCCAAGAAGCAUGACAGAAUUUGAGAUUAUGAUUUCACUGUAAUAUUUGCAUUCAUCCUCAACGAAAUGAUGUGUAGGUUGUACAGACGAGACGAGGAGGACGUUGUCGGAGAAUAAAAAUGUUGGUUAUAUGGAGUAUACGAGCAGUGGAUUUGAGAAGAUGAUGUUAUUAAUUAAAAUUAUAUAUAUAUUGAUAAUCAUAUGAAAGCUAUAUGAAAAUAAAAAAAAGAUUGUAAGAAAAAGAGAUGAUGUAUGAGAUGAAAAGAAGAAAGAGAUUCGGUGGUGUGAGAUGAAGAAAGAGAAAUGGUGUAGAUGAGAUAUGGGCUGUAAUAACCCUCAAGAGCAGAUAAAAUUUUGGUCGAGAAAAAUCCCGCUCGACCAGUUUGGAGUUGGUUCGACCAGAAUUAAAAAUAAAAAUCGAUCCGGUGAAGUAUUCUUGAUGGGACUGUCUCGAGGCCAAAAUACGUACUCUUAAUAGUUCUGACCAAGUGUUAAUUAUUAUGGUCGAGUUUUAUCUAAGCUGGACGAGAACCGAUGGAUAGGAAACAUUUUUUGAAAACUGGUCUUGAAUACUUUCAGCUGCUUGCGAGUCAUGUGCAUGUCAUGUGCUGCCUGGCUGCUUGCUUCCUUCCUGACCUGAACAUGGGGCUUGCACCUUCAUGCUUCCUUGCUACAUUAAAUUCAUGUGAGUUGUACACCUGCUUGAAGUUUCUUCAUGGAAAGGAAAUGACAUUACUUAAUAGGAAGGAAAGUGUGAUUCAGCUCACCACAUGUCUCAUACUGAUCUGAAACUUUUGUCCUUUCUUGCUGACUCUUCCUUCUCCUGCUGUUUCCCCUGUCAUUUAUUACCUUGUCCUCUUCCUGGUCAAGCUCAUUCAUCUCAGAAACAAGAAAGAAAAAUUCAGAGAGAAAUAGAGAAAGAAAGAGAGAAAAAUCUGUGAGGAAAAUACAAAUCAGAAAAAAAAAUCAGAGAAGAGAAGUGAGCUUGCACGAUCCUUUCUCACCCUCUUAUGACUUUUAUCAUUGUGUUCUGGUGUGGUUUAGAGCUGAAGGUUUGGCGUUCAAGAGUUUAGAAUCACCCAAGUUCUUCAGCCAUUGAUUUUAUCGGUUAGACGUGGGUUCAGCUUGAAGCUUAUAGCAACAAUGUUCAUUUAAACCUUGAGAAAACCGUUGGUCGAAGAAAUUGAAAUUACCAGCCGGGUCAUGCCUUGUCCUCAUUCUGUUUUGGGAGUUAUCAGCAAGUGAUGAACGUUUAGCUUGAGCUCGAGUCUAGUUUUCCAUAGGCAAUCUCAUGGAUUCAAAGGUGAGUCUAGAUAGAUGGUUGAUCAAUACUGAUUGUAGAUGAUUGAUAGGCUUUAUCUCUUGAUCAAUAUUGUAUCAGUGAGGUGUUUACUUAGUGUAAACACUUAAUAAAUAUUUAUGAAUGAUCAUAGAGGUUUAUUCCAAACCUAAGUACUUGUUCUCAAGUACUAAUACAUAUGUAUAGUAUUAAAUAUAUGAGUAUAAAUCAUGUGAAGUCUUAUUGUAUACUCACUCUCCCGAAAGUUCCCGCAUUACCGUGAAGUGUUCCUGCGAUACGGAACAAGAUCAGGAAGACACGAUGAUUGUGUCGUACCCUGGAGGCCGUGUAACUGCAUGCAGCGUUAGAUGUUCGAUCUUGGAAUAUCUAAUGGAGAUGAUGGUUAUAUUUAUUUCUCCGCUAGGCUCGGUUAGCCUUGGUGGUUUUCCGGGCUUAGUAUAUAUAUAUUAUAAGUAUGAGUGAAUGGCGGGUGUCGUGGAGGUGAUGUUUAAGAUAAGAUUCACAUCGAUGGAAUCAUAUCCCUU
This is a long non-coding RNA of Brassica rapa (field mustard), 2705 nucleotides long. RefSeq lists it as uncharacterized. Lineage: Eukaryota; Viridiplantae; Streptophyta; Magnoliopsida; Brassicales; Brassicaceae. The record is from RefSeq and is a predicted model, not a curated record.